RNAcentral lists this ribosomal RNA (380 nucleotides) under uncultured bacterium. RNAcentral's name for it is "bacterial SSU rRNA". It matches the Rfam family "Bacterial small subunit ribosomal RNA", at positions 29 to 400 of the family's 1533-position model. The record is from RNAcentral.
AACGAACGCUGGCGGCGCGCCUAAUUCAUGCAAGUCGAGCGAGAAGACGUAGCAAUACGUUUGUAAAGCGGCGAACGGGUGAGGAAUACAUGGGUAACCUACCCUCGAGUGGGGAAUAACUAGCCGAAAGGUUAGCUAAUACCGCGUACGCUCCUUGACUUCGGUUCAGGGAGGAAAGCGAUACCGUGGGUAUCGCGCUCUUGGAUGGGCUCAUGUCCUAUCAGCUUGUUGGUGAGGUAACGGCUCACCAAGGCUUCGACGGGUAGCUGGUCUGAGAGGACAAUCAGCCACACUGGCACUGCGACACGGGCCAGACUCCUACGGGAGGCAGCAGUAAGGAAUAUUGCGCAAUGGGCGAAAGCCUGACGCAGCGACGCCGC